AUGGAUGAUCCAAUGGUGAUGGUCCCUUGCAAGGACACAUGAAUGCAGGUGGGUUAUGCAAUUUAUAGACAUCUAAUGAAAUGGAUCAGGCGAGGCUGGAUCUGCAGAUAUCAUCAACUUGCAGCUUCUAACACCUUAAUGCUUCUGAAAUUCUUGCGAGAAAGGUGUCAUUGCUGACAGAGUUGUUGUGGUUGUGGACUCAUGUAGGAGUGUGUUAGAGAAAAAAUCAUUAGGGUUAUAACUCAGCUCCCAGAAUGUCCAAGUAAAUUGAGCCUUUAUUUGGUCAUUGUACAUGGCUUCAGGAAGAUUCAUUGGACCCUUAGCAAGGUGGAGGUUGGUUCAUAGCACUAUAAUCAUAAUUCAGUUAUUAAAUAUGAAGAAUGUGUUUUACAAUAGAAAAUUGUUGAAUGUAGUGGAUUGGUCUACGGAAGAGAGUGAAAGAAAGAAAUUGGAAAAAUAGAAGAUGUAAUGCAAUAUAAUUAGAAGGGAAGAGAUAGAAAAAUGAGGUGGGAAAGGAGAUGGAAGGGAAAAGUGUAUGAAUUACCCUUUAUACUGCUAGUAAUAAUUUCCUCUUCUAUGUGCCUGAAUUUCUCAACUUGUUUUGUAUAAACUG
Molecule: long non-coding RNA, 613 nt
Filed under: Phaseolus vulgaris (common bean)
Lineage: Eukaryota; Viridiplantae; Streptophyta; Magnoliopsida; Fabales; Fabaceae
Description: long non-coding RNA (PVUL_LNC002946)
Source: RNAcentral